UACGUAGGGCCCAAGCGUUAUCCGGAAUUAUUGGGCGUAAAGAGCUCGUAGGCGGUUUGUCGCGUCUGCUGUGAAAACCUAAGGCUCAACCUUGGGCUUGCAGUGGGUACGGGCAGACUAGAGUGCGGUAGGGGUGACUGGAAUUCCUGGUGUAGCGGUGGAAUGCGCAGAUAUCAGGAGGAACACCGAUGGCGAAGGCAGGUCACUGGGCCGCAACUGACGCUGAGGAGCGAAAGCAUGGGGAGCGAACAGG
RNAcentral lists this ribosomal RNA (253 nucleotides) under uncultured bacterium. RNAcentral describes it as "partial 16S ribosomal RNA". It matches the Rfam family "Bacterial small subunit ribosomal RNA", at positions 524 to 776 of the family's 1533-position model. The record is from RNAcentral.